This 342-nucleotide unclassified non-coding RNA is filed under the name soil metagenome. RNAcentral describes it as "partial contains 5.8S ribosomal RNA, internal transcribed spacer 2, and large subunit ribosomal RNA". The stretch from base 1 to 120 matches the Rfam family "5.8S ribosomal RNA", at positions 35 to 154 of the family's 154-position model. The record is from RNAcentral.
GAUGAAGAACGUAGCGAAAUGCGAUAAGUAAUGUGAAUUGCAGAAUUCAGUGAAUCAUCGAAUCUUUGAACCCACAUUGCGCCCGCUAGUAUUCUGGCGGGCAUGCCUGUCCGAGCGUCAUUUCAACCCUCAAGCCCCCGGGCUUGGUGUUGGGGAUCGGCGAGCCUCCGCGCCCGCCGUCCCCUAAAUCUAGUGGCGGUCUCGCUGUAGCUUCCUCUGCGUAGUAGCACACCUCGCACUGGGAAACAGCGCGGCCACGCCGUUAAACCCCCAACUUCUGAACGUUUGACCUCGGAUCAGGUAGGAAUACCCGCUGAACUUAAGCAUAUAAUAAGCGGAGGA